CCUACGGUGCGCAGCAGUGGGGAAUAUUGCACCAUGGGGGAAACCCUGAUGCAGCAACGCCGCGUGAAGGCAGACGGUUUUCGGAUUGUAAACUUCUAUCAAUAGGGAAGAAAGACAUGACGGUACCUCAAUACGAAGCCCCGGCUAACUAGGUGCCAGCAGCCGCGGUAAUACGUAGGGGGCAAGCGUUAUCCGGAAUUACUGGGUGUAAAGGGAGAGUAGGCGGCAAGGUAAGCGAUAUGUGAAAGCCUUAAGCUUAACUUAAGGAUGGCAUAACGAACUAGCUAGCUAGAGUACAGGAGAGGAAAGCGGAAUUCCUAGUGUAGCGGUGAAAUGCGUAGAUAUUAGGAAGAACACCAGUGGCGAAGGCGGCUUUGUGGACUGAAACUGACGCUGAGGCUCGAAAGCGUGGGGAGCGAACAGGAUUAGAUAACCUAGUAGUC
RNAcentral lists this ribosomal RNA (443 nucleotides) under uncultured bacterium. Its description in RNAcentral is "partial 16S ribosomal RNA". It matches the Rfam family "Bacterial small subunit ribosomal RNA", at positions 338 to 795 of the family's 1533-position model. The record is from RNAcentral.